This 302-nucleotide ribosomal RNA is filed under the name Triticum aestivum (bread wheat). Its description in RNAcentral is "partial small subunit ribosomal RNA". Lineage: Eukaryota; Viridiplantae; Streptophyta; Magnoliopsida; Poales; Poaceae. The record is from RNAcentral.
CGAGUCGGGGGAGCAAUCAAAAGGUCGGGUAAGAGUGGGAGAGGGUAAGGGAGUAGGGGAGCAGGUUAGGUUAGCUGGACCCGCUUGUCGGGAUGGCUGUCCGCUGUCGCGGCGGCGGCCGCUUAGGGAAGUAGGAGACGGAGCUAGCGAGGGAAAUAGGAGACGGAGCUAGCGAGGGAGGGUACAACGGAGGAACAGGGCGACAAGAUACAGUCGGCUGCUUAAGGAGGUCGCGUACGUGUGCCCUUUCUCUAGUGAACCUCAUCUUGAUGGGCGCAUGUUCUUAACCGUCCUUUCCCCUA